UGCAUGUACCGAACUUUGUUUCUAUGUUCAAAAAAUCUAGUGAAGGUUGAAUCUGCCAUAUUUCUUGAUCCUUUUCAUGGCUUACGAUUCAUGCUCAAAGGUAGGGUGGUGGUCACGCCUACGCCUAUUUUAUUGAAGUGCAAUAGUGUGUGCAGACAUGGAUUGACCAAUUACCAUAUACCUGUAGGUUGAGAACUUGACACUUUAUCUUGAGUCUAUAGUUCCGUUUAUCAAAAAAAAAAAAAAAAAAAAAAAAAAAAAAAAAGGUCUGUAAUGGAGUCUUAUGUAGAAAUUGGAGUCUCAAUUAUGAUAUCCCUUAAGUCCAAGUAAUGGAAUAGACUGGAUUCAUUUGUAUAGUUUUCUUUAGGUGAUUUUGCUGUAAUUUGGGUUCUCCUUUACUGCAAUGGUAUCAGUCUUUGUGUUGUAUAUGGAGGUUACAGCUAAAGCUGCAAUAUGCUGUAUUUGUUAGACAGGGAUUUAUUUAAAGAUUUUGAGUUUAUUUACGUUGCGUAGAUCAUGUGGGCUUGCAUUUUUGGGUCAGGUCUUCUCCUUUGUAAAGACAGGCCAGGCCCAUCACCAUGAAUCGGUACCUUUGUUCAAAAUCAAUAUCCUCUCUAGGUAAAUCAAUUGCUUGACUAGAUGUUUGUGUAGAUUACCGUGUAGAAGUUUAGUGAAGCAACAGUUGGAUACAAGAAGAACAGAGAGAUUGCGGAGAUACAAGUUCAACUAUUUACUACUCUGUGUUUCUUAGUCACAAGACUCACAACUAUGAAUGCAACAGACAAUCAAUUGAAAGAAAAUGCCAUACCAUACUUUCAUGCACUCCAUGGAGCUUCAAAUGAAAUGUUAUGGUUUAUCUCAACUUUAUGUAAUAACACAAGAGUUAUGAGUAGAAGUUUUGUUGGUCCCCAAAUUGGGUCAAUAAUUUGCAGCUACAUAAAUUGUAAUAAUUUCUCCCACUGCUUGGGAUGUUUGAUUUAGAAAUGUAUAAAUCAAACUAAUUCCAAGUGCAUUAUAAUAAUUCCUCUUCCUCUUUCAUUUGAGAGGUUUGACUC
Quercus robur (English oak) is the source of this 1055-nucleotide long non-coding RNA. RefSeq lists it as uncharacterized. The transcript has 2 exons. NCBI's taxonomy places the organism in Eukaryota, Viridiplantae, Streptophyta, Magnoliopsida, Fagales, Fagaceae. The record is from RefSeq and is a predicted model, not a curated record.